RNAcentral lists this unclassified non-coding RNA (253 nucleotides) under uncultured Methylococcaceae bacterium. RNAcentral describes it as "contains 16S-23S intergenic spacer region". It matches the Rfam family "Bacterial small subunit ribosomal RNA", at positions 524 to 776 of the family's 1533-position model. The record is from RNAcentral. Lineage: Bacteria; Pseudomonadati; Pseudomonadota; Gammaproteobacteria; Methylococcales; Methylococcaceae.
UACGGAGGGUGCGAGCGUUAAUCGGAAUUACUGGGCGUAAAGCGCGCGUAGGCGGUUGUGAUAGUCGGGUGUGAAAGCCCCGGGCUUAACCUGGGAAUUGCACUCGAUACUGCACAGCUAGAGUCUGGGAGAGGGAAGGGGAAUUCCGGGUGUAGCGGUGAAAUGCGUAGAUAUCCGGAGGAACACCAGUGGCGAAGGCGCCUUCCUGGCCUAAGACUGACGCUGAGGUGCGAAAGCGUGGGGAGCAAACAGG